GAGUAACGGGAGCAAAGGAAAAGGCAAUGAAGCGAGGGAUUAGACACUGUCGGGAGUGUGGACGCAUUGGUCAUGAUAGAAGACAAUGCCCAGCCUUGAACACACCGACAUCACCGUCGAACAAUGACGAAUCAACUCCAAUACAUCGUAGUGACCCAUUAUUCGACGAUUUUGACAGGAUGCACGGACCAACUGAAUGAUUUAUAUUUGUAUUAGACGAAAUGUGGUUGUUAUGAAGAUUAAUGAUCAGGCUAAUGCAGCAUUUCCAGCAGCCAGCUGUUGUUUCCAUUACCAGUAAUCAUUUCCAGCAGUAGCCACUUUUUCCGACUGGUUAUUAGGGGCACGAUUUUGUACACUUUUGUAACUGAAGGAUACUUGAAGCACUUUGUUGGAACAGAGCAAAUAGAAAGCAGCGUGUAAAAAAGAAACAUAACAUUGCAGCUAA
Long non-coding RNA from Prunus persica (peach), 445 nucleotides. RefSeq lists it as uncharacterized. The record is from RefSeq and is a predicted model, not a curated record. NCBI's taxonomy places the organism in Eukaryota, Viridiplantae, Streptophyta, Magnoliopsida, Rosales, Rosaceae. The transcript has 3 exons.